RNAcentral lists this transfer RNA (72 nucleotides) under Marmota marmota marmota (Alpine marmot). It matches the Rfam family "tRNA". Rfam says of the family: Transfer RNA (tRNA) molecules are approximately 80 nucleotides in length. Their secondary structure includes four short double-helical elements and three loops (D, anti-codon, and T loops). Further hydrogen bonds mediate the characteristic L-shaped molecular structure. tRNAs have two regions of fundamental functional importance: the anti-codon, which is responsible for specific mRNA codon recognition, and the 3' end, to which the tRNAs corresponding amino acid is attached (by aminoacyl-tRNA synthetases). tRNAs cope with the degeneracy of the genetic code in two manners: having more than one tRNA (with a specific anti-codon) for a particular amino acid; and 'wobble' base-pairing, i.e. permitting non-standard base-pairing at the 3rd anti-codon position. The record is from Rfam by way of RNAcentral. Lineage: Eukaryota; Metazoa; Chordata; Mammalia; Rodentia; Sciuridae. RNAcentral also lists the same sequence under 1 other name.
GGGUAUGUAGCUCAGUGGUAGAGUGCUUGCCUGGCAUGCAUGAGGCUCUGGGUUCAAUCUCCAGCAUGACAA